CUCCCCCGCCCCCGCCCCCCGCUCUGCCGCGGGCCCCCGCCCGCCGCGGGCCGAGAGCUCGGCGCGCUCGACCCCGGGUCCCGCCUCCCCGAGGUUUUCGCUUUCGCUUUCCCGCUGAUGUCGUUGGGGAAAAUUAAGCUGCCGAGGCCAGGCUGGCGCAGAAGCCGUUCCUGGCGAGGGGCGCAGAGCACGGCRGCGGCGGCGGCCGGCCUGGAACCCGGGUCCCGCUGCCCGCGCCGGGCGAGAUGGCAGCACGCCCUGGGCUUCCCUGCACUGUCCCAAGGCUGGACAGCAGAGAAGCAAGAAAAUGGACUCCCUUCUCUGGGAGACUUGCUUGAAUGCCAGCCAUGGGCAGACAAAGGCGAGGAAACAGUGAAUCUCCAAGGUCACACAGUAAAGACUAGCCCCAGGACCAGGACCUCUGCCUCUGCAUUGGUAGAAUCCAGUUAAGGCUGGGACCUCAAAGAGAUCCCAAGGAAGUGAGGCCCCUAAGCCAGACCUCUGUCCCUGGACUGCUUGGUGAGGGCCUGAUGGAUCUGGGAUUCCUGCAGAAGGUUCUGCUGGCAGAACAGAACGCGGGGGCUGGACAAAGCCUUUCACCCUCAAGUAAGUUAACCAGCUGGCCCUGGUUUGCCUAGGACUUCCUCACUUUUUGCAAUGCAAGUCCCAAAUCCUGGGAAACUCUCAUUCCUGAGCAGAUUGAGACAGUUGUUCACCUUAUCUGCAAGGCCUUUUGAACCUGCAAACCUGCUCUGGAUCACACCGCACCUUGCAUAGCUGGAUUCCUGGAUGCAAGGGAGACUUGGUAGCUGAGGAAGGACCCUGAGCCAGUGCCGGGACAUUCCCAUCAGAGUCGCAAGCUGUAUAGACUGUGCCUGUGUCAACAGCACAGAGCUCCUAGCCAUAGCAUGGGGGAGAGUAGAAAGUGCAUUUUCACCUGAGCCUCUAAAAAUAUAGCAACCUGGUCACUUCUGUGUGGUCUAUUACGG
RNAcentral lists this long non-coding RNA (989 nucleotides) under Urocitellus parryii (Arctic ground squirrel). Its description in RNAcentral is "lncRNA (ENSUPAG00010016107.1)". Lineage: Eukaryota; Metazoa; Chordata; Mammalia; Rodentia; Sciuridae. The record is from RNAcentral.